AGUUAUAAUAGACGGAAGAGAAUUUCCAGAAGCCGAAGGUAGAUCAAAGAAGGAAGCAAAAAAUGCCGCAGCCAAAUUAGCUGUUGAGAUACUUAAUAAGGAAAAGAAGGCAGUUAGUCCUUUAUUAUUGACAACAACCAAUUCUUCAGAAGGAUUAUCCAUUGGGAAUUACAUAGGCCUUAUCAAUAGAAUUGCCCAGAAGAAAAGACUAACUGUAAAUUAUGAACAGUGUGCAUCGGGGGUGCAUGGGCUAGAAGGAUUUCAUUAUAAAUGCAAAAUGGGACAGAAAGAAUAUAGUAUUGGUACAGGUUCUACUAAACAGGAAGCAAAACAAUUGGCCGCUAAAUUUGCAUAUCUUCAGAUAUUAUCAGAAGAAUCCUCAGUGAAAUCUGACUCCAUGUCCUCUGGUUAUUUUGCUGCUACGUGUGACUCCCAAAGCAACUGUUUAGUGACCAGCACACUUGGUUCUGAAUCAUCAUCUGAAAGUGACUUCUCAGCAGAUACAUCAGAGAUAAAUUCUAACAGUGACAGUUUAAAGAAUUCUUCGUCGCUUAUGAAUGGUCUCAGAAAUAAUCAAAGAAAGGCAAAAAGGUGAGUAUCAUUAUGCAUUGAACAUAUUUUGAUCUGAAGUUUUAUUUCAGACUUAUUUAUUGUUUUUAAUACUUGUAGAGUAUUGUACACCCUUAUUUGAGCAGAGUUUCAGAAGCAGAAAUCUUGAAAUCUAUAAACAAAUAAUUUUAGAUGUGUCGAGAAAUCUUUGAAUAUAUGCACAUGCUACACUGUAAACAUAAAGCCCUAUGGGGGUAUCGCUAGAGUAAUUAGGUUAAGGGCAUUAUUUUGUACAA
RNAcentral lists this small RNA (845 nucleotides) under Pongo abelii (Sumatran orangutan). RNAcentral's name for it is "retained intron". The record is from RNAcentral. Lineage: Eukaryota; Metazoa; Chordata; Mammalia; Primates; Hominidae.